AGCAACCAAUGAAAAUAUUUUGAGAAAAAACUCAAAUAAAAGAGCAAAUUCUUGCCCUCGAUGCUCAAGAAGAGAGCAGAAACUUGUCCUCUACGGAACAUGGUAGAAGAAAAGCACUUAAGGAUCAACUGGAAAAUAUUCUGCAAGCAGAGGAAACUCCGUGAAAGCAAAGAUCACAUGUUACUUGGCUGUUGCAAGGAGAUCACAACACGAAGUUUUUCCAUGCCUAU
This 230-nucleotide long non-coding RNA is filed under the name Elaeis guineensis (African oil palm). RNAcentral describes it as "long non-coding RNA (EGUI_LNC001690)". Lineage: Eukaryota; Viridiplantae; Streptophyta; Magnoliopsida; Arecales; Arecaceae. The record is from RNAcentral.